CCUAAUACAUGCAAGUCGAACGGCUUUUCUAUGGAAGCUUGCUUCCACUGAGAAGAUAGUGGCGGACGGGUGAGUAACACGUGGGUAACCUGCCCAUAAGAGGGGGAUAACAUCCGGAAACGGGUGCUAAUACCGCAUAGUUUUCUUGAUCGCAUGAUUGAGAAAGGAAAGACGGCCUUUGUGCUGUCGCUUAUGGAUGGACCCGCGGCGUAUUAGUUAGUUGGUGAGGUAACGGCUCACCAAGACGAUGAUACGUAGCCGACCUGAGAGGGUGAUCGGCCACAUUGGGACUGAGACACGGCCCAAACUCCUACGGGAGGCAGCAGUAGGGAAUCUUCCGCAAUGGACGAAAGUCUGACGGAGCAACGCCGCGUGAGUGAAGAAAGGUUUUCGGAUCGUAAAACUCUGUUGUCAGAGAAGAACAAGUCGGAGAGUAACUGCUCCGGCCUUGACGGUAUCUGACCAGAAAGCCACGGCUAACUACGUGCCAGCAGCCGC
Molecule: ribosomal RNA, 498 nt
Filed under: uncultured bacterium
Lineage: Bacteria
Description: bacterial SSU rRNA
Rfam family: Bacterial small subunit ribosomal RNA
Source: RNAcentral